RNAcentral lists this ribosomal RNA (289 nucleotides) under Salmonella enterica subsp. enterica serovar Typhimurium. RNAcentral's name for it is "partial 23S ribosomal RNA". It matches the Rfam family "Bacterial large subunit ribosomal RNA", at positions 879 to 1165 of the family's 2925-position model. Lineage: Bacteria; Pseudomonadati; Pseudomonadota; Gammaproteobacteria; Enterobacterales; Enterobacteriaceae. The record is from RNAcentral.
GCCUCGUGAAUUCAUCUCCGGGGGUAGAGCACUGUUUCGGCUAGGGGGCCAUCCCGGCUUACCAACCCGAUGCAAACUGCGAAUACCGGAGAAUGUUAUCACGGGAGACACACGGCGGGUGCUAACGUCCGUCGUGAAGAGGGAAACAACCCAGACCGCCAGCUAAGGUCCCAAAGUCAUGGUUAAGUGGGAAACGAUGUGGGAAGGCCCAGACAGCCAGGAUGUUGGCUUAGAAGCAGCCAUCAUUUAAAGAAAGCGUAAUAGCUCACUGGUCGAGUCGGCCUGCGCG